Molecule: ribosomal RNA, 1306 nt
Filed under: Microbacterium sp.
Lineage: Bacteria; Bacillati; Actinomycetota; Actinomycetes; Micrococcales; Microbacteriaceae
Description: bacterial SSU rRNA
Rfam family: Bacterial small subunit ribosomal RNA
Source: RNAcentral
GUGGCGAACGGGUGAGUAACACGUGAGCAACCUGCCCCUGACUCUGGGAUAAGCGCUGGAAACGGCGUCUAAUACUGGAUACGAGACGUGAUCGCAUGGUCAACGUUUGGAAAGAUUUUUCGGUUGGGGAUGGGCUCGCGGCCUAUCAGCUUGUUGGUGAGGUAAUGGCUCACCAAGGCGUCGACGGGUAGCCGGCCUGAGAGGGUGACCGGCCACACUGGGACUGAGACACGGCCCAGACUCCUACGGGAGGCAGCAGUGGGGAAUAUUGCACAAUGGGCGCAAGCCUGAUGCAGCAACGCCGCGUGAGGGAUGACGGCCUUCGGGUUGUAAACCUCUUUUAGCAGGGAAGAAGCGAGAGUGACGGUACCUGCAGAAAAAGCACCGGCUAACUACGUGCCAGCAGCCGCGGUAAUACGUAGGGUGCAAGCGUUAUCCGGAAUUAUUGGGCGUAAAGAGCUCGUAGGCGGUUUGUCGCGUCUGCUGUGAAAUCUGGGGGCUCAACCCCCAGCCUGCAGUGGGUACGGGCAGACUAGAGUGCGGUAGGGGAGAUUGGAAUUCCUGGUGUAGCGGUGGAAUGCGCAGAUAUCAGGAGGAACACCGAUGGCGAAGGCAGAUCUCUGGGCCGUAACUGACGCUGAGGAGCGAAAGGGUGGGGAGCAAACAGGCUUAGAUACCCUGGUAGUCCACCCCGUAAACGUUGGGAACUAGUUGUGGGGUCCAUUCCACGGAUUCCGUGACGCAGCUAACGCAUUAAGUUCCCCGCCUGGGGAGUACGGCCGCAAGGCUAAAACUCAAAGGAAUUGACGGGGACCCGCACAAGCGGCGGAGCAUGCGGAUUAAUUCGAUGCAACGCGAAGAACCUUACCAAGGCUUGACAUAUACGAGAACGGGCCAGAAAUGGUCAACUCUUUGGACACUCGUAAACAGGUGGUGCAUGGUUGUCGUCAGCUCGUGUCGUGAGAUGUUGGGUUAAGUCCCGCAACGAGCGCAACCCUCGUUCUAUGUUGCCAGCACGUAAUGGUGGGAACUCAUGGGAUACUGCCGGGGUCAACUCGGAGGAAGGUGGGGAUGACGUCAAAUCAUCAUGCCCCUUAUGUCUUGGGCUUCACGCAUGCUACAAUGGCCGGUACAAUGGGCUGCAAUACCGUGAGGUGGAGCGAAUCCCAAAAAGCCGGUCCCAGUUCGGAUUGAGGUCUGCAACUCGACCUCAUGAAGUCGGAGUCGCUAGUAAUCGCAGAUCAGCAACGCUGCGGUGAAUACGUUCCCGGGUCUUGUACACACCGCCCGUCAAGUCAUGAAAGUC